This is a long non-coding RNA of Perognathus longimembris pacificus (Pacific pocket mouse), 296 nucleotides long. RefSeq lists it as uncharacterized. The record is from RefSeq and is a predicted model, not a curated record. NCBI's taxonomy places the organism in Eukaryota, Metazoa, Chordata, Mammalia, Rodentia, Heteromyidae. The transcript has 3 exons.
GCCUGGUCACUUUACUUGGUAACAUUCAUGCUGAUAAUGCAUGUUCCUUAGUCCUGUCAAAAUAGCAGGGCAGUUGCACCAAAUUUGAAUAAAAAGGGUCUAGAAACAGUCUUAUGUAUAACACAGCCUAUGUGACACAUUUCAAAUUCACUUUGAGGGUCCUGAAAGGUACAACAACUCAUUUUCUCUUCCGCACUGAGUGGCAUGCCAUAUACAUUUAAAGACUUACAAACUGAGCUGAGAAAAUUUCAUUUCUAAAUGUGUGGCUAUUUUAUGGAAGGUAGAAGAGGACAUGA